Solanum pennellii is the source of this 1537-nucleotide RNA transcript. It is a transcript of the gene named UDP-glycosyltransferase 86A1-like, with no coding region annotated. NCBI's taxonomy places the organism in Eukaryota, Viridiplantae, Streptophyta, Magnoliopsida, Solanales, Solanaceae. The record is from RefSeq and is a predicted model, not a curated record. The transcript is spliced from 2 exons.
AUGAUGAACCAAAGUCUAUACACACCAAAAGCCUCAUGCUAUAUUAUUUCCUUACCCCCUUCAAGGUCAUGUAAUUCCUUUUGUUAACCUAGCAAUCAAACUUGCAUCCAAUGGCUUCACAAUUACCUUCAUAAACACUCAAUCAAUUCAUCAACAAAUAUCGAAAGCCGGUCGAUCGAACGUUAUUGAUAACGAGAGCAACGAUCUUUUCUCAGGUGCACGCUAAUCAGGCCUUGAUAUACGAGAUGUGUCUAUUUACGAUGGUUUUCCUGUAGAUUACGAUCGUUCAUUUAAUCAUGACGAAUUUUUUGAAAUGUCGAUGAGGUUGUUGGAAAAUUGAUGCUCUCAAAUCCAUCACCAAAUAUAUUGAUUGGUGAUACUUUUUAUGUAUGGUCAUCAACCAUAGCUAAAAAGUAUAGUCUUGUGAAUGUUUCGUAUUGGACGGAACCAGCUCUUGUUUUUAGUGUUUAUUAUCACAUGGACCUUCUAAAGCAAAAUGGACACUAUGAUUGCAUUGAGAAUAAACGUGAGGACAUCAUAGAUUACAUACCAGGAGUGAAGGCUAUAAAGCCAACAGAUUUACCUUCUUAUCUUCAGUCUGAUGACACAAAUAUGGUGGUCAAUCGAAUAAUCAAAAGGGCAUUCAAAGAGGUGGAAAUUGUAGAUUUUAUUAUUUGUAACACUAUUCACAAACUCGAGCCUGAAAUCAUAACCGCGUUACAAAAAUAUCUCUCUAUUUAUUCAAUUGGAUCAAUUUUCUCCCCUGGAUUCACCAACACCUCAGUGUCAACUAGUCUAUGGUCCGAAUCCGAUUGCACCGAUUGGCUAGAUACCAAGCCACAUGGCUCGGUCUUAUACAUCUCGUUCGGGAGCUAUGCUCAUACUAAUAAAGAAACUAUAGUGGAAAUUGCGCGUGGUCUGGUAAUCAGUGAAGUGAAUUUUAUUUGGAUACUUCGUCUUGAUAUUGUUAGUUCAGAAGAGACAGAUUAUUUAUCGAUUGGUUACGAAGAUAGUAUUAAGGAUCGAGGAUUAAUCGUGCCAUGGUGCUGCCAAACGGCUGUCAUUUCUCACACCGCGGUGGGGGAAUUCCUGACUCAUUGUGGAUGGAAUUCGAUUAUGAAAAGCAUAUGGUGCUCUGUUCCGUUUAUUUGUUUUCCCUUGCUAACCGAUCAAUUUAUUAAUAGAAAAUUAGUAGUCGAUGAUUGGAAAAUUGGGAUUAAUCUUUGUGAUAAGGGUUCAAUUUCGAGGGAUGAAGUGGCAGAGAAAGUGAAAUUUCUGAUGAAAGGCAAAGAAGCAGAGGAAAUUAAGCAACGGAUUAAGAAAAUUAAGAAGGAAUUAGAGGAUGGAUUAGCAUUAAAUGGAUCAUCUCAAGUGAAUUUUUCAAAGUUUAUGGAUGAUUUAGAGUCCAAAAUGUCAAAGGAAAAUGUGUUGGACGUAGAAUUUGAGAAUCAGAAAUUAAAUCAUAUUGCAAAAUGAUUAUAAUGUCGCCCCUUCAAAAUAAGAGUUUACAAUAAGGAAUAAUAUUGUUAAUUAUUUA